UGCGGUUAUACAAAAAUUAAAUUAAAUUUUUUUUGGGUUUUAAUAAAUAAAUAAAAAAAAAUAAAUUAAAUAUUAAAUUAUAAGGUGAAAUUUUAAUUUAAUUAAAAUUUAUAUAUUUUUAUGAUAUUAAUAAAUUUUAUAUAAAACUAGGAUUAGAUACCCUAUUAUGAAAAUUUAAAUUAAUAAAAUCUCAAAAUAGUAUAUAAUUUUUUAUAGAAACUUAAAUAAUUUGGCGGUAUUUUAGUUCAUUUAGAGGAAUCUGUCUAAUAAUUGAUAAUCCACGAUUAAAUUUACUUAAUUUAUAAUUUUGUAUAUCGUUGUUAAAAAAAUAUUUUUAAAUAAUUAUAAUAUUUUAAAAUUUAUAUUAAAAAUUAAAUCAGAUCAAGAUGCAGAUUAUAAUUAAGAAUAAGAUGGAUUACAAUAAAUUUUAUUUUAUUUGGAUAUUAAUUUGAAAUAAAUUAAUUGAAAUUGGAUUUAAAUGUAAUUUUAUUAAUUUUGUUAAAAUGAUUUAAAAUUAAAAUAUGUACAUAUUGCCCGUCGCUUUCAUUAAUAAAUUGAAAUAAGUCGUAACAAAGUAGAGGUACUGGAAAGUGUUUCUAGAAAGAU
This 606-nucleotide ribosomal RNA is filed under the name Zygaena algira algira. RNAcentral describes it as "partial 12S ribosomal RNA". Lineage: Eukaryota; Metazoa; Arthropoda; Insecta; Lepidoptera; Zygaenidae. The record is from RNAcentral.